This 253-nucleotide ribosomal RNA is filed under the name uncultured bacterium. RNAcentral's name for it is "partial 16S ribosomal RNA". It matches the Rfam family "Bacterial small subunit ribosomal RNA", at positions 524 to 776 of the family's 1533-position model. The record is from RNAcentral.
UACGUAGGGGGCAAGCGUUGCCCGGAUUUACUGGGCGUAAAGCGCGCGCAGGCGGCACACUAAGUACGAUGUGAAAUCUCCCUGCUCAACGGGGAGGGUGCAUAGUAAACUGGUGAGCUAGAGGACGGUAGAGGGGGGUGGAAUUGCUGGUGUAGCGGUGAAAUGCGUAGAGAUCAGCAGGAACACCCGUGGCGAAGGCGGCCCCCUGGGCCGAACCUGACGCUGAGGCGCGAAGGCUAGGGGAGCGAACGGG